This 510-nucleotide ribosomal RNA is filed under the name uncultured bacterium. Its description in RNAcentral is "partial 16S ribosomal RNA". The record is from RNAcentral.
GGAGUUAGCCGGUGCUUCUUCUGCGAGUAACGUCACAGAUGUAAGGUAUUAACUUACACCCUUUCCUCUCGCUGAAAGUGCUUUACAACCCGAAGGCCUUCUUCACACACGCGGCAUGGCUGCAUCAGGGUUUCCCCCAUUGUGCAAUAUUCCCCACUGCUGCCUCCCGUAGGAGUCUGGGCCGUGUCUCAGUCCCAGUGUGGCUGAUCAUCCUCUCAGACCAGCUAGGGAUCGUCGCCUAGGUGAGCCUUUACCUCACCUACUAGCUAAUCCCACCUGGGCUUAUCCAUCAGCGCAAGGCCCGAAGGUCCCCUGCUUUCCCCCGUAGGGCGUAUGCGGUAUUAGCAGUCGUUUCCAACUGUUAUCCCCCACAAAUGGGCAAAUUCCCAGGCAUUACUCACCCGUCCGCCGCUCGUCAUCUUCAAAAGCAAGCUUUUGAAAUGUUACCGCUCGACUUGCAUGUGUUAGGCCUGCCGCCAGCGUUCAAUCUGAGCCAGAAUCGAACCCUGA